CCUACGGGUGGCAGCAGUGAGGAAUAUUGGUCAAUGGGCUUACGCCUGAACCAGCCAAGUAGCGUGCAGGAUGACUGCCCUAUGGGUUGUAAACUGCUUUUAUACGGGAAUAACGCGCCUUACGUGUAGGGCUUUGCAUGUACCGUAUGAAUAAGGACUGGCUUAUUCCGUGCCAGCAGCCGCGGUUAUAAGGAAGGUCCGGGCGUUUUCCGGAUUUAUUGGGUUUAAAGGGAGCGUAGGCCGCAAGUCAAGCUUGCUGUGAAAUGUCCGGGCUCAACCCGGGCCUUGCAGCGCGAACUGGCGUGCUUGAGUCCGCGGAAAGCAGGCGGAAUUCGUGGUGUAGCGGUGAAAUGCUUAGAUAUGACGAAGAACCCCGAUUGCGAAGGCAGCUUGCUGCAGCGGAACUGACGCUGAUGCUCGAAAGCGCGGGUAUCGAACAGGAUUAGAUACCCCUGUAGUC
Molecule: ribosomal RNA, 460 nt
Filed under: uncultured bacterium
Lineage: Bacteria
Description: partial 16S ribosomal RNA
Rfam family: Bacterial small subunit ribosomal RNA
Source: RNAcentral